ACAUCUAUUCAGUGCUAAACUUAUAUAAUCGCUCUAUGUAAUAUAUAUACCCAUCCUCCUUUUAAUGCACUAUCAAAUAUGCAUACUGAAUCUGUUCUCAUCUAUGUAAUAAUAAAUAAAAGUAUUUUGAUUCUUUUGUAUGACAUAUCUAUAUUAAACUCCUAUACCUGAGCCUUUCCAAUACAAAGAUUUGACAUAUUUUAGUGCAUUUCACAAUCCACUAGUAUGUAAGUAUCCGACAGAUCUAUUCCUAUCACAGAAAAAACAAACGUCAGCUAAAAGAAAGAAAAACAAUAAAAAUAUUCCCCUUUUUGACCUGGAUGACAUAGACAUGCAGGUGGUAGAUUAGCUGAUGAUGCUAGUGCCCACUCAAC
This 374-nucleotide long non-coding RNA is filed under the name Sorghum bicolor (sorghum). RNAcentral describes it as "long non-coding RNA (SBIC_LNC000451)". The record is from RNAcentral. Lineage: Eukaryota; Viridiplantae; Streptophyta; Magnoliopsida; Poales; Poaceae.